This 310-nucleotide RNase P RNA is filed under the name bovine gut metagenome. Its description in RNAcentral is "Bacterial RNase P class B". It matches the Rfam family "Bacterial RNase P class B". From Rfam's summary of the family: Ribonuclease P (RNase P) is a ubiquitous endoribonuclease, found in archaea, bacteria and eukarya as well as chloroplasts and mitochondria. Its best characterised activity is the generation of mature 5'-ends of tRNAs by cleaving the 5'-leader elements of precursor-tRNAs. The record is from RNAcentral.
GCUGCUGCCUAAGGGUAGAGGAAAGUCCAUGCUCGCACCAUCUGCGAUGAUGGUAGUGUUUGUGCCAGGGGAACCAAUAACCCUGGGUAUGGAGGAGUCCAUAACGGCGGAGGAAGGUCUCUCGUAGAUUGGAAUCCCCAAGGUGCCACAGAGACGAGCUUGGCGGCGACGCCAAGAUGAAACGCGGUAAACCCCUCAAGCGAGAAACCCAAAAUUGGUAGGGGAAGCGAAGAAGGCAAAAGAUAAAGAAGCCAGAUUCGCCAGCGAAAGCUGAGAUAAAUUGCCAUCCUCGACAUAACAUGGCUUAUCG